This 465-nucleotide ribosomal RNA is filed under the name Vreelandella stevensii. Its description in RNAcentral is "partial 16S ribosomal RNA". It matches the Rfam family "Bacterial small subunit ribosomal RNA", at positions 338 to 795 of the family's 1533-position model. Lineage: Bacteria; Pseudomonadati; Pseudomonadota; Gammaproteobacteria; Oceanospirillales; Halomonadaceae. The record is from RNAcentral.
CCUACGGGCGGCUGCAGUGGGGAAUAUUGGACAAUGGGCGAAAGCCUGAUCCAGCCAUGCCGCGUGUGUGAAGAAGGCCUUCGGGUUGUAAAGCACUUUCAGUGGGGAAGAAAGCCUUGGGGCUAAUACCCUCGAGGAAGGACAUCACCCACAGAAGAAGCACCGGCUAACUCCGUGCCAGCAGCCGCGGUAAUACGGAGGGUGCGAGCGUUAAUCGGAAUUACUGGGCGUAAAGCGCGCGUAGGCGGUCUGAUAAGCCGGUUGUGAAAGCCCCGGGCUCAACCUGGGAACGGCAUCCGGAGCUGUCAGGCUAGAGUGCAGGAGAGGAAGGUAGAAUUCCCGGUGUAGCGGUGAAAUGCGUAGAGAUCGGGAGGAAUACCAGUGGCGAAGGCGGCCUUCUGGACUGACACUGACGCUGAGGUGCGAAAGCGUGGGUAGCAAACAGGAUUAGAUACCCCAGUAGUC